Molecule: ribosomal RNA, 525 nt
Filed under: Neisseria sicca
Lineage: Bacteria; Pseudomonadati; Pseudomonadota; Betaproteobacteria; Neisseriales; Neisseriaceae
Description: bacterial SSU rRNA
Rfam family: Bacterial small subunit ribosomal RNA
Source: RNAcentral
GCACAGAGAAGCUUGCUUCUUGGGUGGCGAGUGGCGAACGGGUGAGUAAUAUAUCGGAACGUACCGAGCAGUGGGGGAUAACUAAUCGAAAGAUUAGCUAAUACCGCAUAUUUUCUGAGGAAGAAAGCAGGGGACCAUUUGGCCUUGCGCUGUUUGAGCGGCCGAUAUCUGAUUAGCUGGUUGGUGGGGUAAAGGCCUACCAAGGCGACGAUCAGUAGCGGGUCUGAGAGGAUGAUCCGCCACACUGGGACUGAGACACGGCCCAGACUCCUACGGGAGGCAGCAGUGGGGAAUUUUGGACAAUGGGCGCAAGCCUGAUCCAGCCAUGCCGCGUGUCUGAAGAAGGCCUUCGGGUUGUAAAGGACUUUUGUCAGGGAAGAAAAGGAUAGGGUUAAUACCCCUGUCUGAUGACGGUACCUGAAGAAUAAGCACCGGCUAACUACGUGCCAGCAGCCGCGGUAAUACGUAGGGUGCGAGCGUUAAUCGGAAUUACUGGGCGUAAAGCGGGCGCAGACGGUUACUUAA